CGCUCGCAAGAUCCUGUCCUCCCUAUUCCUCUGCUAAUCUUCCUCCCGAGACGCCCCUGCAGCUUAGGGUUCCUGCUGCCCAUCUUGCCUCUCGCAUCCAAUUCACCUCAAUCGUGGAUUCUCAAUCUCAUACCCCCACUUGCUUCUCUCUUCUGCCGCCGGCCGUGCUAGGAAGGAACCAGCGCUUUGGGAGGACUCGCUGCCCUUGCCGCCUCCACAGCUGCUGGAGGGGAGGUAGGUGGUGGUCUGUCCCAUUAAGAGCACCGCAACAACGAGGUGUGCCUGUGCUUCACCCUGCCGCCUAAGUGGACCACAUUUUCGGUGCUGCCUUAUGCGAGAUCCGGCCGUGACGAUCGCCGCCGGUGCCGGGAUGGGGAGGAGCGAUUUCCGCGCGCCGCCUGUGCCGGGAUGGGGAGGGGCGUCGUCCGCCACCUCCUGAUGCGACCGCUGCCCGUCCCUCAUGGCGCUGCGUGUACCACGCCUGAGAGGCAGGUUGGCGGCGCGGCGCACUGCGCCCCUACCCUGAUGGCUGCUGCACGACGUGCGACCGGCCGACAAGGUUAGCGCCGUCCCGCUGUCGACUGCAGUCAUCGUUCUCUCCGGGCACCCCAGCCGUAUCUGCCCAGCAUAGCUGAUUGAUGAGCCUUCAUGUCGCCUUCCUCCGAUGUGCUAUUGGUCUGUUGUUGCGCGCCUAGACCAGCAGGUGGGUUACUGGGGCAGGCUGUCGUGGACUACGGCCUGGAGAAUGAUGUGCUGCCCCUCGAGAAUACCAUUUCAGAAGGUACUGCAAGUUGUCCGAUGGGGGUGCGGCAUAAGUUGUCCUUUCAAGUGUGGUGCUCCUUGUUGUGCUUAAAUACUGUGAGAGGUGGGCUUGGUUUUGAUUCAUAAUUUAUGUCUAUUUCGUUGCUCCUUUGCUAUUUGUCACCAUGACAGGAUGUAGUGGGUUGCUAUCUAAUUUGGAGGGAGGGCUCACCAAUUAGAUCACCAUCUAACUUCUAACUAUAUUAACGACCAAGGAACACUUCAUUUCACCGAGCAAGCAUCCAUCCUUGCAUUAUGUAUAAAUGGUGUCAACAUUCACCCCUGUAAGGUUAGUUUGUUUAAAUGUAAUAAAUAUGGAUGGUAAGAAGGUUGGCAAGAUUAGCAAUCCGUCAUGUAUUCUGACUACGAUGAUAUGUUGAUGUUCAGUGCGGGACGUGCCGGGUAUGCUAACCAUCUAUUGCAGUUCCAUCUGUGGUGGGUGCAAUUGCUUUUAGGCACAAAUUUACUUUCACAAUACUUCUGUCUAUAGUCUCCUAGCACUAGCAUAUGGACUCUCUUCGGCAAUACUUCUAUCCAGAGUCUCCUAGCACUACCAUAUGGAGUCACAUGUGUUGUAUUGCUGAAGAGAAUUUUCAGGGAGUGCAUUAAACUCAUUGAGAUGACCCUGUUUGUUACAUGCCUACAGUAUUACUAUUCUGAAGUCUUAGUUUCAGAAAACUAAUCUCUCUCUCUCUCUCUCUCUCUCUCUCAAAAGAAGCAUCUAUAUAGUCUAUAAUAACUAAAUAGACUAAUCGACUUCUCUCAACAUGAAGGUGUUCAGGUUAUUACUUCUCUUCUACCAUGUCACUUUCAGGAGUAUUAAAUUGUAAGGAUCGACAUGUGCAAUACUAACAUCUUAGUUUCAGUCUUAGAACGGGUGGCGGUUGUGAAGCGAUGAAAUCACAGCAGCCGCCGCGUCCUUCCUGCUCUCCUUCACCUCCCGCAGAACCGCGCUCUAGGGAAAUUGUUCUUUCAUUCUUCAUAGAAUGAUUUCUUUAUCUGCCCUAUCACCAGCCCUGUGCUACUCCUGAAAGUUGAUGGUUCAGGAAUGAUGGAAAUUGUGCCUCACCUAAAUAUUGUUGUCGUUUGCGUUACAUAGAUCAGUAAGUAAAAUAGGUUAGGAUUCCUUUACAGAAAUAGGUCAGGAUGAUGGUAUUUUAUUCAUUUUACCUUUUUCCAGAUUUUCAUCUUUAGAUGAUGAUGAAUUCUUUCCACCCAUGUAUGCCUUUAUUUGGUAUACAUGUAGAAUGUGCUCCAUCCGUGGAACUGUGUGAAUACACAUUGUUUGGUAUACAUGUAGAAUGUGCUCCAUGCCUGUGAGUGCAAAUAUACAAUGAAGUGACUACUUGUAGAUUGUCGUUUGAUGAUUAUUAUAGCUCUAUCUGCAGUGGUCGUGGUAGGCCACCAGCUCCUGGCCGACAAAGACGUGGCAGGUCGACCAAGACUCCAUGCCAUCAAGAUCCCAGCUUCCAUGUUGAUUUUCUUAUUAGGUCUGGGUUUCUUACUUGCAGGUAAUGGUCGUGUUGGAUUUUCUUGCUUGGAUGCUUUUUUGUGUACUCAAGCUGCAAGUAGUCACUCUGCUGAUUAUUUUCGUUAACCGGUUGCAAGGAGAUAAGUAGUACAGGCUCAAGGAGGUGUAUUUGUCACUUCAAUUUUUUUAAUGGAUAUUGUAAUAGGCAGUUUCAAAUAUCCCAUUUUAUAUAGGUCACAACAAUCGUGUCGAAGAUGUAAUUACCUCGGCUUAUACCAGGGUUGCCUGCCGACCUCUACUAAAUGGUUCAGCUGAUGGUUACUAAGAACUCCAAGUAUCUUUUGGCCAUACAUGCAAAUUGGGUAACUUUUGUGUGAAUAAAUGUUGUCAAUGCCAAUAUGUCCAGAUUUGGGUGA
Lolium perenne is the source of this 2688-nucleotide non-coding RNA. The record is from RefSeq and is a predicted model, not a curated record. NCBI's taxonomy places the organism in Eukaryota, Viridiplantae, Streptophyta, Magnoliopsida, Poales, Poaceae.